ACCUAUUGAGGAGGUACUUCAAUUUUGAUAUGUUGAGUUAUUUAUCAGCUCUUCUUUUUCAUAGAAAUCAAAUGUGCUUGCACUCUUAAUAUGAGAAGUAUGGUGACCAUACCAAUUUCUAAAAUAAUAAUAAUAUAAUGGUGAGCGUCUUUAUGUGUACACGUUAUAAGUCUAGUAAUAUCAAUAUUUUUAGUACUACUUAAUUAACUUCAGGUAUUUUUUUUGAUAGAAGCACAAAGAAGAGACAAAAAUCCCGUCGUUUCAAUUUGUUUGUUCUACUUUCCUUCUUAGUCCGUUUAAAAAAGAAUGCCUCUUUUCUACUUAGCAACUCUUUAAUUCCAACUUUCCAGAACAUUAAAGGGGAUUUGGUACAUUUGACAUACCUUUAAUUUUAGACUACAAGAUUCAAAAGUCUUCUUUACUUUCUAACUCCGUGCCAAGUCAGAAUAGGACAAACAAUUAUAAAUAGAGGGAGUAAUUGUUAUCUAUUUCGAUUGAGAGGAAUGAUAGAUGUCUCAAUGACAAGAUAAACAACAUAGAGCAGAUUAAAUAUAUAUGUACCUAUGGUGCAGGAAGAAUCUUUUUCCAGGCUAGUUAAACUAGUUUAUUCUCUUUGGCCAGCCGGCUUGUUGCAACCUGUUAUAUGGGAAUUGGGUAUAAAACUGUUUUUUUUUCAAUGGUAACUAUAAAAAAGCUUUCUUUUGUGUAUAGGAAUUAAAGAAAUGGGUUUUCAUCGUUGAGAGUGAGCUCUUUUCUUCCUUUACUACACUUUGGAACUGUUUCUCUACAUAUCCAAGGAUGUUAGCUAGGCUUGAUUUCUGAAGAAUGAAAAUGUUUACUGAUAGUGCGGAAUAGGCUUGAAUUGUAAUAAUUUUUGGUGUAGUAUUUGAUUGUUAAAAGAAAAUAAAGAACACGGAGUGAGAUCCAUGCGUUUCAGGAGUGAACUACCACUAUGGAAGAUUCCUUAAGGCUCCCUAUGACCUUUUUAUUUUCUCAUGGUUUCUACAAAAGGAGGAGAUUAAAAAAAGGAAAAUUUCUACAAAACCAAAUAUUUUAAAGAUGGAAGACAAGUAUUCUUGAGUUGAUCACAUCAUUCAGAAUGAGACCAUUUCUACAAAAACGAUUUCUCUAUAAGAUAAUAGUUCUUUUUUCAUUAUUGGAUUGAAGUAGAUCUUUCGAGGGAUAUAUCUUUGGAAUUUGGUAGAUGUUUUGUGGGAUACUUGAAAUAAAGGUGCUUUCUGUUGUUGAGAUCCUUUUUAAAUGUAAGUUCAUCUACAACUAUUGAAAUCCGUGAUCUAAGCUCCUAUUGGAUUGAUGACAAAUUGAUUAUGCGGUAUAUGUACCUUUAGUCUUUAAAGUAAGACCUUAGCUGUUGUAGCCAAAUUUGAACUGUACUCUUUGUAAAUCCAAAAUAUGGUGUUCAUAGGCAAAGUGCAAGGGGAAAUCCAAGCAAUCAUUUUCAUUUAAAUGUACUCAAGAAUGUCGUUGUACAACCUGUCUGCUUAGUGAAUCCAGUAAUGCAACCACUUAUGUUUUCAUGCCAUGAAUUGUGCUCAACUGCUCAUAUGGAAGAACAUGGUUUUGAAAGCACUAAAAUAUCUGACAUUUUGAGAGACAAGGGUAAAGGCACUAAUGAUUCUCGGCUCUGGUACACUACAUAUGAUACUCUAUAUGAUGUUGUGCAAUCAACUAGUAUCUUCAUGUUUUGUCUAAACUGACUUUGCAUCUCACCGUUGACAUUGCACACUUAGUAAUUUCACAUAUAGACAAUAUUAAAAGUAACCACAUUUGGCAGAAAGUGCAAGUUAGCACACAAUUAUAAGAAAAUGGUUUGGUCAUGUCUUGCAUAGUCACCUCUAGAUACACCAGUCAAUAAGUGUAAAAUCAUGGUGAGUGAAUGUGUUGAAAAGGAACUAGAUAGACUUAAUAUCACAUGGAAGGAAGUUGCUUAGAUAGACCUACAAUCUCUUAGAAUCCACAGUAGAACUAGAGAAAAAUAAGGCAUGUUGGAGAAAUAUAUCUAUAUAGUCUAUGCCAAAUUGUUUUUCUCCCUAUUCGAAAGUUGAGAUUAUUUUUUAGUUAUUAGUAUGCUUACUUUAAGUCAUAUGUUCUCUAGGAUUCUUUUAGUCAUGUUAGAGAUUUAUAUACCAGUAAAAAUUAAAGUUUAGUACUCUUUAUUUUGUAUGUUAUUAUCCAAGAUGAAAUUUAAUAAAGUGACAUGAUCAUAUAGUCGAUCCCAGGCUCCCAGCUUGUUAAUUCUUUGUUUUUUUGUUUUUUUUUUGUACUUUAAUUCUCCUUAUUAAUUCUUAGGUAUGGUAACUGAUAUGUUUCUAAUCCACUUACGAGUCUAGGGAUGUAAUGCUGGUUCUAUUAUGAGAACUUUGGUUGCAUAGAUUCAUAUGGCAUAACAUAAUGUCAGAGCUUUUGUCGUUGUGAAUCUUGGGAAAAUAAGUCAACAACAACAUACCCAGUGUAGUCCCACAAAAAUUUUCUAGGAAGGGUAGAGUAUACGUAGGCCUUACCCCUACUUCAGAGAUAGAGAGGUUGUUUAGACCCUCGACUCAAGAAAAAUUCAAUCCAAAGCAUUCCUGAGAAAAUAAGUCAACCACUACAGAAAGAGGUAUCAACCACUUUUAAAAGAAAUUGGUGUCUUCUUUAUCACCUUUAAAAGUUGGUGAUGCUACCUCUCUACUUAUCUAUAGGAGUUUUGAACUUUGAAAUUUUUCCUUGAUCAUGUCUCCACCAUGGCAGAUCUCGGUUGAAGGCAAGGGGGUUCCUCCACCGGAAAAUAUAGUGUAUAUAGGGUCAAAUUUUUGUUUUUUGUAUAUAUAUUAAAUGUUGAAUCCUCUUGAUACAAGCCAAAAGCUCAACUCAUUAGUAACUGGGGUUCAACUUCUCUUAGAGAACACAGGUUCAAUUCUUGCUAACUACAACUUUAAUCUUUUUAACUCUAGGCGCUCUUUUUUUUGUUUUGGAACCAUCAUGGAAAAAAUCCCACUUCCGCCACUAGUCUCACAUGUAAUUUAUCAUAGUUGUCUUUAAACAUUUUUCUUAUCGCGGUGGUGUUCGGACCAUCUUUUGCACACCUUGACUAUUCUACUGAGUACCUCUUACCUCCUAACAGAGUUACCGGGUAACUCUGACUACCAAAUAUGUUUAGUUGUCUUUUAACGCAUUAAGUUUUCUAUGGAAUAUUGAAUCAUAUGGACACUAUAAGAUAGGAAUAAUAUAUACCUAAUUUCUUCUGAAUUAUGGUUUAUCGGUGUGAUCCUGAUCUGUCACAAAUCACACCCAAGGGUGUGACUUAGUGGUCAAUAAAGUUGUUGAGAAUCUCGAGGUCUCCGGUUCAAAACUCAUCGAAGACAAAAAACACUAGGUGAUUCUUUCCAUCUGUCCUAGCCUUGGUGGACGGAAUUACUUGGUACCUGUUGGUGGCAAGUAUCCAUGGAAUUAGUCGAGGUGUGUGAAAGCUGGCCCGGACACCACGAUCAUAAAUAAAAAUGAUCUAUGACAAAUCUAACCUUGCCUCUUGAAUCAUUUGAAUGUUAGCUGUGAUUUUUCUUGCUUCUCCUUCAUUAACGUAAUAAAGUACACCUGAGCUGAAGGUCUUUUCGGAAACAGUCUCUCUACCUUCACGAGGUAGUGGUAAGGUCUGCGUACAUUCUACCCUCCCCAGACCUCACUUGUGGAUUUCACUGGGUAUGUUAUUGUUUUUGUGUUAUAGUGCUGGUAACUUUAGUUACAGUGAUGACGAGUAGAGUUUUUCAUGAUCAUGUCUCCACGUGUAGCUUCAUCAUAGUAGUCGUUAAGAUUUUUAGUUGUCUAUGGAAUAUUGAAUCAUGUGGACACUAUUAGAUAAGAGUAAUAUAUAUCUAAUUUCUUCUACGUUUUGGUUUUUCAGUGUGAUCAUGUUUCGUCACAAAAUUAACCUCAUAUCUGGAGUCUGGAAUCAUUUGGAUGUGAAUUGUCAGAUGUGAUCUUAUGGUAAUCUAAUUCUCUUUCUUUUCUUCUUUUUAAGCAAGGUCACUGAGUGUAUUUCCCAAUGACUAUUUUAUUUAUUUAUCAAAAGUAAUUUACAUCUAUGAACUGCUUCAAUGGAUUUCUGCUUCCACGUAUGAGUGAAUGAGAUUUUUUGUUGUUUUUCAUGCCCUUUGAUUGAUGCUUGACUCGAUUUUGUUCAGAUCUAGUUAGCCACUGUUUGGUCACAUAUGGAUUUAUCUUCUUAUUUCUCUGUUGUCAGCUUCUCCCUUGAUGUCAGCUUCUCUGUUCUAGUUGUCUAAGGUAUGAACUGAUUUGUUGCAUUUUUGUAUUUUUCCGUAUGUUCAAGUAAGAUGUAUGAGUUGGUGUAUCUGAUGAUUUGUGUGUACUUUGAUUUGGGCUUCUACAAAAUUCAGUGAAUUUUCGUACAAUAGAAUGAGCAUCUACUGAUGCCAAUACCACACAUCGUACAAUCACCCACCGAUUUAGUAUUUUCUCAAAAAUAUGAUUCCUGUUAUGUGUUUGUUGUACAUGUCUGUGAAUGUCCCCAUUUCUGGGUUUAUUGUCCUGCAUUGGCUUUUCUUUGUUGUUUUUGUUGUUCUUACUCUGAUGAGCUUUAUAUGUUUGUAUAUGCAGUGUUCGCAUCUUUAACUGUCUUGCCUUGCAAAAAUGAGCAAACUGUUAGCAUAAAAAAACAUUUUCCCUGUUCUCCUCUCAUAGGAUUUGAACUAAAGAGCUUUCUCCUCCUUUUUGUGCUAUCUGUCUCAUUUCCUGCAUGGUCUAACCCUGAGAUACGGCUCGUUCAACUUGUCACUGUUUAUCCAGAGCCAUAUUAGCUAGAUGAUCAGACAACUUGUUUCCUUCCCUGAGUAUGUCACCUCUUAGACUCAAAUGAAGAUAAACAUUAUUUCUUGGAAUGUAAGGGGGCUGAAUGGGGGGAGCAAAAUGAGUCUCAUUAGGAGUUUAACUAAACAGUGGGGGGCUGACGUCUAUGUCUUUGUAGAGACAAAGUUGAGGGGAGUUGACAAUGCUUUAUUUAAAGAGGUGUGGGCAAAUAGGUGGAUGGGUGGGUAGAAGUGGAGGGAUUGUAGUAAUGUGGGACAAAAGGGUAUUGGAAGGGGGAGCUAAUAGGGACUGCUGGUCAGAUGCUUACAUGUAAACUAGAAGGCAUAGUACAAAAUCUCACUUGGUUUUAAGUGCAGUUUAUGCUGACUGCAACCCAAUAAUAAGAAAGGAAAUAGUGGAGGGAGCUGACAACAAUUAGAAACUCCUUCGAAGGACCAUGGGUGGUGUGUGGCAACUUCAAUGUUACAAGAUAUCCAAACGAAAGAACUGGCAGCCAUUAUCUGUCUGGAGAAAUGACAGAGUUCACUGACUGGAUCAACGAGAUGGAGUUAUUUGACCCUCCUUUAUUUAGAGGAUCUUAUACUUGGAGAAGGGGUGAGAACCACACAACAGCCUCCAGAAUUGAAAGAUUCCUCUACUCUAAUCAUUGGGAAGAAUUGUUCCCGCAAAUUAGACAAAGUGUGCUCCCGAGAGUAGGCUUUGAUCAUAGUCCAAUAGCUCUAAACUGUGGAAAGCUAAAUCUCAAGAAGACUUAUUUUAAGUUUGAGCAAUGGUGGAUGAGGGUGGAAGGGUUCAGAGAAAAAGUAAAAGAAUGGUGGGCAUCCUUCACUGUAAAUGGAACAACUUCUUUUAGGUUGGCAACAAAACUAAAGCUACUCAAAGGGAGAUUGAAGGAAUGGGAGCUGGAGAAUAGAGGCAACUAGAAACAUAGAAAGGAGGAUAUGUUGAACCAGAUUGCUAGUCUUGAAACUAUCCAGGAACAGAGAACACUCAAUGUGAAGGAGAGUCUACACAAAGCUAAGUUAUUCAAUGAGUUUGCAGAAAUUUCCAAGAAUGAGGAAAUAGCGUGGAGACAAAGGUCCAGGGUACAAUGGCUCAAGCAAGGGGAUAAAAAUACCAAAUACUUUCAGGAAAUGGCAACAUCACACAGAAGAUUCAAUACAAUCGAGAAGUUAGAAGUGGAAGGUGUGAUUAUUUCCGAACCAGAGGUGAUCAAGAACGAAGUUGUAAGCUUUUACCAGAAACUCUACAAGGAAUCAGAACAAUAGAGGCCACAUUUUAAUCUCCAAGGGAGUGAAAGCAUCAGUGUGGAGGGAAAAGAGUGGCUACAAAGACAAUUUGAGGAAGAUGAAGUCCUUGAGAUACUCAAGUUGUGUUCCAGUGACAAGGCCCCAGGUCCGGAUGGUUUCCCGAUGAGUUUUUAUCAAAGCUUGUGGGAAAUGCUUAAGGAAGACAUACUGAGCAUCUUGAGGCAAUUUCAUGAUCACCAAGUGUUUGAGAAGAGCCUAAAUGCAACCUAUAUGGCAUUGAUCCCAAAAAGGUGGGAGCUGUGGAACUAAGAGAUUUCAGACCUAUAAGCUUGAUAAGUGGAAUAUACAAGAUCAUUGCCAAGAUACUAGCAGAAAGGUUAAAGAAAAUGAUCAGUAAGCUUGUGAAUAAACACCAGAUGGCCUUCAUAAAAGGUAGGCAGAUCAUUGAUGCAACACUUAUAGCAAGUGAGUGUGUGGACACCAGAGUCAAAGGAGAUGAUCCAGGAAUUAUGUGCAAGCUGGACAUAGAGAAGGCUUAUGAUCAUGUCAAUUGGGGCUUCCUAAUCAUGAUUCUAAAACAAAUGGGUUUUGGGGAUAAAUGGCUGAAGUGGAUCGAUUAUUGCAUUAAAACUGUUAGGUUCUCCAUUUUAGUGAAUGGAGACCCUGUUGGUUUUUUCCCAUCAGAAAGGGGUCUAAGGCAGGAGACCCACUCUCUCCUUUCCUUUUCAUCCUAGCCAUGGAGGGCUAUAAUAGUAUGAUGAGAGUAGCUACCCAAAAUAAUUGGUUAAAAGGCUUCAAGGUCCGCAACUCUUCAAAAAGGGAAAUGCAGAUUUGUCAUCUGCUUUAUGCAGAUGACACCAUUAUUUUCUGUGAAGCCAAGGCUGAACAGGUUACCUUUAUAAGAAUGACUUUGGUGGUUUUUGAAGCAGUCUCGGGUUUAUCAGUAAAUUGGAGGAAAAGCAGCAUUUUUCCAAUUAAAGAAAUCCCUCAACUUCAGAGCCUAGCAAGGAUAUUGGGGUGUAAAGUAGAACAUCUUCCCACUACUUACUUGGGCAUGCCAUUGGGACACAAUCAUAAGGAGCUAGAAAUUUGGGACGGCAUAAUUGAAAAGACAGAGAAGAAAUUGGCCAAUUGGAAAGCUCAGUAUAUCUCUUUAGGAGGGAGAGUCACUUUAAUAAACUCUGUGUUGGACUCUCUUCCAACUUAUGUUAUGUCUUUAUUCCCUAUGCCUGCCAAAGUGGAAGAAAGACUUGACAAACUGAGAAGAGAUUUCUUGUGGAAAGGGAAUAAAGAAGGGAAGGGUUUGCAUUUAGUCAAAUGGCAGACUGCACAGUUACAUAAACAAUCUGGUGGACUUGGAAUCAGAAACUUGGGGUUGCAGAAUAGAUGUCUCUUGUCAAAAUGGCUAUGGAGGUUCAACACUGAGGAAGAAGCACUGUGGAGGGAGGUGAUAGUCAACAAGUACGGGUGAAUGGGAAUUGGGUCUCCAACUCUGUGAAUAGCACUUACGGGGUGUCAGCUUGGAGAACAAUAAGAAAUUUGUGGCCUGAUCUAAGUAGAAACAUAGUCUACAAGGUGGGAAAUGGGACGAAAAUCCUAUUCUGGAAAGAGAAUUAGAAUGGAAAUGAGGCACUGAUGGGCUGGGCUUAUUUCCUGACCUAUUUUCCUUGUGUACCAAUCCGGAAGAAACAGUGGCUGAGGUAUGGUCUAUUCAUGGAUGGAAUAUUGUGUUUAGAAGGCAUUUAAAUGACUAGGAGAUUGGGAGAGUGGCUGAGCUAUUACAUGUUCUCAAUGGUUUUAAUGGGUUAUCAGCAGAAAAAGAUUCUAUCGUAUGGAAACACUCUAGAGAUGGAAGCCUUUCUGUUAACAAGUUAUAUAUUAAGGAGGUGAAUGAGUAUCCAGGUGGUAAACUUGGCCCUUGGAAGCAGAUUUGGAGGAACAAGGUGCCAACCAAGGUAAAGUGUUCUCCUAGUUGGUUGCCAGAAGAGCAUGCUCCACUCAUGAGAAAUUGAAAAUGAGGUGUUUCUAUAUUGCUUUUUGGUGCUCUCUCUGUAAUGAGACUGAGGAAACCAACAACCAUUUGUUCCUCCAUUGCAAAGUGACAAUACAAUUGUGGAACCUUUUUUUGGGACUAACACAUAGAGAAUGGAUUAUGCCUGAGCAUACAUCAGAUCUACUUAGUUGCUGGAUCAGCAGAGGGAGGAGAAAAUCUAAGAAAAAGUGGUGGAGUAUAAUACCAUCAUGCAUUUGGUGGUGUAUUUGGAAAGAAAGAAAUAGCAGAUGCUAUGAUAACAAAGCUAAUUCAAUAGAUAAAGUCAAAUGGAACUGCUUGACUACUUUUUAUUUUUGGUGUAAAGAGGAAGGGAUAGAAGAAGCUGCACAAAUUUUGGAUUUUAUAGGCACUUUGUAAUCUAUUAGCUCUUUUUGUUUUUUCUCUUGUUGGAAACCAAUUUUUGGAGGUCUCCAGCAUAUCCUUAAUGCUGAUGAAUACAACAUUAUCUUUAUCAACAAAAAAAAAAAGUAUGUGAGUGAUUACCACUGUCCUUUCUCUCCUGAGUCUCCAUAUUUCUUCGAUAAUGGUCACUAUAUUCCAGGGAACUUCCCAAACCCUCUAUUACGUUUUUCAGUACUAGAGAACCUAUCUCAAUGAAUAUUCUCUCAAUUUGUUAGUCUUUUUGUACUUCAAAGCGAAUAGGAAUGCCAAAGCUUCAGCUUGUAUGUUUGUACUGAAAGGUUCUUCAAUCUCCUUAGCCUGUGCUUGUAUGACAUCUCCAUUGGUAUAUUUUACACAGAAUCCCCAAGAGCUCCUCCCAGGAUUUCCUCUUGAGGCCCCGACUGUGUUCACCUUCACCCAACCUGUGUCUGGUGGCUUCGAAAUAACUUUGAUGAUCUUCACGGUGUGAGAUUACCUAUAUAUGGCUUCCACCAUUGUGCAUAUUUGAGAUUUUUCUUCCUUGCCUUCAUGAACUGAAUCGAAGUGCACAUCACCUGAUAUAUUAGUUUGGUAUUGGAUAUUUUUCCUCCAUGCCUCAACGACUUCCUCUUUUUCCAUAGCUCCCACAAUAUAAUAGAUGGCACUGCUUGAAACAUAUAACUCACUUGCAGAUGUGCAGGCAUCCCCCACCAUAUGCUUAUCAAUUGAGUAAGGUGUAGAUUUUGAUUAACAUUGCAAUAAAUAGAAUUUGAUAUGAACAUUUGGCGAAUAAUAGAAGAAAAUACAAGCGCAGUGGAUAAGGAACAUGUCAGAAUCUACAAAAAUAUUUCCAAACAUACUGAGCUGCUGGAGAAUAUAGAGGAAUACAUGAUUUAUAUCUUCCACUCUAGGAUAUUCACAACAAUGACAUCUUGAUGGAAACUGAAUUCCCCAUUUUUUCAAAGUAACAUCCAGUGGCAAUUUAGCUUUCCACAGUCUCUACAUGAAAAAAGAGAUCUUGAUAGGCAAAUCUUUAACCACUUCAGCUUAUAUAUUUUGUUGACCUCCCAUCUUUGUCUCGUUACCUGGAAGGCAGACACUACUGUGAAUUUUCCUCUUGCUUCUAGCUUCCAGUUUCCAGUAUGGUCUAUCUAAUUCCUCCUCCUCUUUAGGUGGGUCCACCUUUUCUAGAAUAUGUUCUGCCAACCCUUGAGGAAGAAUUCUUCUCAAUGUAUUUUCUUGCCAUUGCCCCCCUUCAGCUGUUUCUUUGACUAGUAUAAUUGUAAGAUCACACUCAACAUUUGGUGGAAUGAUUUGACAUAAAGCACACAGUCCUGUCCAAUUGUCUAACCAGAAGUAUGAGUUGCCCUCUUUAAUCAACAUAAUAUAGUACAUUUCAUAUUUAUGAAUAUUCAGCUGACAUUAAUACAGACAAGUGCUAGGUUUAAAAGUUUUAAAUCUCCAUUUUCUACUGUCUAGUUCUUCAAGAUGAUUUACUAGAUGACGCACAAAUAGUUGGUCAUGUGUAAUUUAUUACAACCAAAUACUCUUUGUGCUUUCUUUUGUCCCCUCCUCUCUCUUAUUAAUUCUCUUGAUGAAAAUUACGUCAGGAAAGUUUAUGGAACUGGGAAAGAUUAUCCAAGCAACGGAAGUUGGGAACUUUAUGACAGAAGAGGUAAAUUUGAUGGCUCUUCUUAUAUAAAAGAAAUGUGCAGUAUUGAUAUGUGCUUCCUGCCAAAAGCUAGAUCUGUAGUUAGAUAGCAAGAGAUUCUUUUACAAUGAUGUCAAAUAUGUUUGUGUAGGUGGUAGAACAAGCUCAUCACAGUCGCACCAGAAACUGAAGUAAGAAAGUGAUGCAAUUGGUCACAGGUGUUAGUUUUUGCUUUAUUUCUCAAACCUCUAGCCUUUUUCUAGUGAAGAUAAGCUUAUUAAAUACUUUGCAACAUAGUCUAUCCGCUUCCUGGCUCAUUCCUCCCUUUCACAGUCACUACACCUUUCCAAAGGUUAUGUUCUAUCCUUGUGGAGACUAAUACGUUUCUACUGUUGCAAAGCUGAAAAUCCUGGGAAAUUGCUCCUUGAAAUGGCUUGUUCCAUAUCCAUCUGUCUUUACCCGAAUAGGAUUUUUCUACCACCUCCCAGUUUAAUUUGAAUGUGCUUUGGGAAUUUGCUCUAUAAGUUUCUGACGAAUUAUGUAUGGUCUUCACCUUUUUGUUUGUGCCACAUUAUACUAUUAACAGACGCUACUGCUUUUCUUCAUAACCUAUCUGUAGUUUUGAGUCGGUUUGAAUCCUCAGAACUUGACUUCAUGAUUUAUUAAGAUGAUAGAAUGACAAGUUUAUUAUUCCUUUUACUGCUUGGAGGAGGGAUGACUCAUAUUUGAUGUUUUGCUUCUUCUCCAAGUUUGAAUUUCAUGCGGCAAUGUUCAGUUUUUUGGAUUUGAACAUGUUCUACUCAAGCGGUGGAGCCUGGAUUUGAAGUUUAUGGGUUUUGAAUUUGUCACCAAACCUGGUAGUUCGUCUUAGUUAGUGGGCUCGCACUUAAAUAAUAAUAUAUAUUUAAUAAAAUUCUUGACACAAGUACAGGGUCUAAGCAAUAGCUACUGGGUUUGCCCGAACCUGUAGCUAAUACUCUCCCUCUGCCCCUAUUCUCCGGAAAACUAAUUGACCUAUUUGUUAUGCUGCAGGCUCAUAAAAUGAUCGGAUCAGUUCUCGUAAUAGUAUCUUGAUGUGGUUGCAUUGGAGCGGCGACAAGGAUUGGUUGUUGCAUCUGCAUGAGUGGUUUACAUUGAUGAUUUAUUAUGUAUCUGUGGAACAUUUCUAGUUAGAUUUUGAGAUCUUACUUGCAUAGCUUCUCUUUCGAAUUAACUUGGAUGAGUUUUUGACCAUUUUGGGCUUAAUUUAAACUUGGUCAAAUGUCCGUGGUGAUUUACAAGAAUCGUCUUGAACUUUUGACCUCAUUUGUACCACGAGCAAAACUUCCAGUUCAACAAGUUUUGACUUUUAGCUCAGAAGGUUUGUCCAUGGAGCAAGCGGGGAUUAAAAGUUCAAGAUCAUGUAAUUUUAAGAUGGGAAAGGGGUCAAAUAUGCCCCUAAACUAUUCGAAAAUGUUUAGAUAUACCUCCCGUUUGAAGUUUGGCUCAUCUGUGCCCUCGCCAUCCAACUUCUCACGUAGAUAUGUAGAGGCGUAUCUAGGAUCUCAAGAACAUGGGGGCACCAUUAUCUUCAAAAUAGGCAAUUAAUUCAAUUAUAUAAAUUUUACGGUGAG
Molecule: long non-coding RNA, 11751 nt
Filed under: Solanum tuberosum (potato)
Lineage: Eukaryota; Viridiplantae; Streptophyta; Magnoliopsida; Solanales; Solanaceae
Description: long non-coding RNA (STUB_LNC006084)
Source: RNAcentral